This 837-nucleotide unclassified non-coding RNA is filed under the name Hevea brasiliensis (rubber tree). The record is from RNAcentral. Lineage: Eukaryota; Viridiplantae; Streptophyta; Magnoliopsida; Malpighiales; Euphorbiaceae.
UCCCAAAAGAAAACAUUGUUAUUCGACAGAAGAAUAAUUUCCAAUGCAUCUGCCUAUGAGAAAAGCUAGAACUCAGCCCCCCAAAAUUAAAGGUUAUUGGGCUGCAUCAGUCCAAAUUACAUGAGAAAUAAGAACCAUUGAUAUUCGCUCCAAACUCUGCCAAAUUUUAUAAUCUAUGGAACUAGCCUUAAAAAAACAAGGGCCAAUUCCAUCAAGCAGCUUUUGUUAAAAACAGCCACCAAACUAAAGGCCACAGCAAAAAUCCUAUCAAUAUCUACAGCUUGCACCAGAUACCUCACCACUAAAUGCAAAACAGACUUUGGAUAAUAUCAGCCAUUCUAAAGCAUAUAAUUUCUUUAUCUGACUAUUUCUACUAUACACUAAGAUUCUUAUCUACAACAGAGCUUGCUUUUGUCCUUUACCAGCUCUGUUACCUUCUCUCCAUGAGUUCAUUCACUUGCAAAAUUUGAUCUGCCAGAUCCAAAUGCAAGUUCGUGUAUCAUAAUUUAGCUAAAAUAUGAGCUCACGAAUAGCCUCACCCCAAUAUCAAUGGGUCCAUCAUCCCCACCAACCGCAUGAAGCGCAACAGGAAUUGUUGAAAGAAGAUGCACAGUGACGGGGAAGACUAAAGGGUCAAUCUCACACUCUGAAACAGGAUCUACAUGUUGGGAUGCCAAAUUAUUCUUGUCUAAAUGUGUGGGACUGCACUCAUUUGCAAUCUUUCCAACGGCGCCAGGUUCCACAUUCAGGUUGCAUGGAUUUACAACCCAUGCAAUCUCAUUAAGUGCCCUGUAAUUACCAAGGCCAGCCCUUCUAAAUGUUCGUUUGUAGGCACAU